Long non-coding RNA from Oncorhynchus kisutch (coho salmon), 2071 nucleotides. RefSeq lists it as uncharacterized. Lineage: Eukaryota; Metazoa; Chordata; Actinopteri; Salmoniformes; Salmonidae. The transcript is spliced from 6 exons. The record is from RefSeq and is a predicted model, not a curated record.
AAGAGGGGUGUCCCUGGUCUCUGAGAUGAAGUGGAUGGGAGGGGCGUCCCUGAGAUGAAGUGGAUGGGAGGGGCGUCCCUGGUCCCUGAGAUGAGGUGGAUGGGAGGGGCGUCCCUGGUCCCUGAGAUGAGGUGGAUGGGAGGGGCGUCCCUGAGAUGAGGUGGAUGGGAGGGGCGUCCCUGAGAUGAGGUGGAUGGGAGGGGCGUCCCUGAGAUGAGGUGGAUGGGAGGGGCGUCCCUGAGAUGAGGUGGAUGGGAGGGGCGUCCCUGAGAUGAGGUGGAUGGGAGGGGCGUCCCUGAGAUGAGGUGGAUGGGAGGGGCGUCCCUGAGAUGAGGUGGAUGGGAGGGGCGUCCCUGAGAUGAGGUGGAUGGGAGGGGCGUCCCUGAGAUGAGGUGGAUGGGAGGGGCGUCCCUGAGAUGAGGUGGAUGGGAGGGGCGUCCCUGAGAUGAGGUGGAUGGGAGGGGCGUCCCUGAGAUGAGGUGGAUGGGAGGGGCGUCCCUGAGAUGAGGUGGAUGGGAGGGGCGUCCCUGAGAUGAGGUGGAUGGGAGGGGCGUCCCUGAGAUGAGGUGGAUGGGAGGGGCGUCCCUGAGAUGAGGUGGAUGGGAGGGGCGUCCCUGAGAUGAGGUGGAUGGGAGGGGCGUCCCUGAGAUGAGGUGGAUGGGAGGGGCGUCCCUGAGAUGAGGUGGAUGGGAGGGGCGUCCCUGAGAUGAGGUGGAUGGGAGGGGCGUCCCUGAGAUGAGGUGGAUGGGAGGGGCGUCCCUGAGAUGAGGUGGAUGGGAGGGGCGUCCCUGAGAUGAGGUGGAUGGGAGGGGCGUCCCUGAGAUGAGGUGGAUGGGAGGGGCGUCCCUGAGAUGAGGUGGAUGGGAGGGGCGUCCCUGAGAUGAGGUGGAUGGGAGGGGCGUCCCUGAGAUGAGGUGGAUGGGAGGGGCGUCCCUGAGAUGAGGUGGAUGGGAGGGGCGUCCCUGAGAUGAGGUGGAUGGGAGGGGCGUCCCUGAGAUGAGGUGGAUGGGAGGGGCGUCCCUGAGAUGAGGUGGAUGGGAGGGGCGUCCCUGAGAUGAGGUGGAUGGGAGGGGCGUCCCUGAGAUGAGGUGGAUGGGAGGGGCGUCCCUGAGAUGAGGUGGAUGGGAGGGGCGUCCCUGAGAUGAGGUGGAUGGGAGGGGCGUCCCUGAGAUGAGGUGGAUGGGAGGGGCGUCCCUGAGAUGAGGUGGAUGGGAGGGGCGUCCCUGAGAUGAGGUGGAUGGGAGGGGCGUCCCUGAGAUGAGGUGGAUGGGAGGGGCGUCCCUGAGAUGAGGUGGAUGGGAGGGGCGUCCCUGAGAUGAGGUGGAUGGGAGGGGCGUCCCUGAGAUGAGGUGGAUGGGAGGGGCGUCCCUGAGAUGAGGUGGAUGGGAGGGGCGUCCCUGAGAUGAGGUGGAUGGGAGGGGCGUCCCUGGUCUCUGAGAUGAAGUGGAUGGGAGGAGCGUCCCUGGUCUCUGAGAUGAAGUGGAUGGGAGGAGCGUCCCUGAGAUGAAGUGGAUGGGAGGGGCGUCCCUGAGAUGAAGUGGAUGGGAGGGGCGUCCCUGGUCUCUGAGAUGAGGUGGAUGGGAGGGGCGUCCCCGAGAUGAGGUGGAUGGGAGGGGCGUCCCCGAGAUGAGGUGGAUGGGAGGGGCGUCCCCGAGAUGAGGUGGAUGGGAGGGGCGUCCCCGAGAUGAGGUGGAUGGGAGGGGCGUCCCCGAGAUGAGGUGGAUGGGAGGGGCGUCCCCGAGAUGAGGUGGAUGGGAGGGGCGUCCCUGAGAGGCAUCCUAGGUGCCUAAUUUUAUUAACUUUGUGUAAUAAUGCCACAAAACAUGCGUGUGCCCGUUUUCACGCAAAAGUUGGCAUUUAUAAAAAUUUUACUUGACAUGAGGAUUGGCUUAUCCUCCCGGAAACUGUAGACCAUGCGUACGCACAGUUUUGUGCACGCAGAUAUGUAGUGUUAGAUUUACGCAAUAGUUAUAAAUGAGGCCCCUGGUGUGAUGAGGUUGUGAGGGGAAGUGGCCUGCAGAUCAGGAGUAAUGUUUUAGUGAUAGUCCAAUAAAUUGCUAAUUCCUGUGUG